GCACCGCGAGAGCAGCAGAGACCACCAGAGAAGGCCGGAGAGCCCAGACAGAGUGAAGACUUGCUGGGGGCUGGGAGGCCUGUCAGCCUCCUCCCGGCCCCCCAGCACCUCUGCCUGCCGUGUGCCCGAUCUUUCGUGCUAGACCAGAUGAUGUGAACAGGACCAGAAGCUUUGGAAUUGGAAAUAAAGAAUCAGCAGCAGACAACUACAACACUGAAGAGACUUCUGGCUGGCCUGCGUUAGAGCAAAUAUGUCUAAUCUACAGAUCUGAAGGGCAGCCUCAGAAGGCACAUGUCUUCAUCUGCUCAGGUUGCCAUAACAACGUACCAGAGACUAGGGACAAGCAGCUUUGAGGCUGGAAGUCCAAGAACAAGGUGUCAGCUGUUUUGCUCCCAGCUCCAGAGUAUUCUGCAAUUUCUACAAGAGAGAGUGCCUGGAGGAUGAACCCUUUUAAGUGUCAUCGUUGCCAACACUGUUUUUCAUUUGGGCACUAAAGGAGGUGCAGGAGAGGGAGGCGGAUCCAUAACGACAACGCUGUGUGUUGUACUGUGAUGGUUGCCUGGCAACUGUACCUGUAGAAAGUAAAUAGUGGACUCGCAUCUGUAUUAAUCCCUCUUCUUGUCAAGGUUUGUAGUAGUAAAUACACUAAGCUCAGAAAAUACUUAAAAGCAACAAGGUUUGCUCAUUUGAUGAUCCUUUGGAAUCGUAUGGAAACACGGUGGCAUGUCAACAAAUGAGGGUCUUUGCAGAAGUGGUACCCCAUGCUGUGAACAGAUCUUGAACAUACUCGAAUAUAUUUUA
This is a long non-coding RNA of Talpa occidentalis (Iberian mole), 801 nucleotides long. RefSeq lists it as uncharacterized. The transcript is spliced from 4 exons. Lineage: Eukaryota; Metazoa; Chordata; Mammalia; Eulipotyphla; Talpidae. The record is from RefSeq and is a predicted model, not a curated record.